CCCUUAGAUGUUCUGGGCCGCACGCGCGCUACACUGAUUCAUGCAACAAGUUUUGUCCUUGGCUGAUAGGCCUGGGUAAUCUUUGAACGUGAAUCGUGAUGGGGAUAGAUGAUUGCAAUUAUUCAUCUUCAACGAGGAAUUCCUAGUAAACGCAAGUCAUCAGCUUGCAUUGAUUACGUCCCUGCCCUUUGUACACACCGCCCGUCGCACCUACCGAUUGAAUGGUCCGGUGAAAUCUUCGGAUCUGAGGGAUGUCUGAUUAAUUUCGGACGCCUUUUGGAAAAGUUGUUUAAACCUUACCAUUUAGAGGAAGGUGAAGUCGUAACA
This 327-nucleotide ribosomal RNA is filed under the name uncultured eukaryote. RNAcentral describes it as "partial 18S ribosomal RNA". It matches the Rfam family "Eukaryotic small subunit ribosomal RNA", at positions 1470 to 1796 of the family's 1831-position model. The record is from RNAcentral.